This 162-nucleotide non-coding RNA is filed under the name Kocuria flava. RNAcentral's name for it is "FMN sequence". It matches the Rfam family "FMN riboswitch aptamer (RFN element)". From Rfam's summary of the family: The RFN element is a highly conserved domain that is found frequently in the 5'-untranslated regions of prokaryotic mRNAs that encode for flavin mononucleotide (FMN) biosynthesis and transport proteins. This element is a metabolite-dependent riboswitch that directly binds FMN in the absence of proteins. Lineage: Bacteria; Bacillati; Actinomycetota; Actinomycetes; Micrococcales; Micrococcaceae. The record is from Rfam by way of RNAcentral.
CAACGUGUUCCGGGGUCGGUGCAAGUCCGAACCGGCGGUCACAGUCCGCGAACCGGACACCGUGCACCGGCAGGCGCCCGCCGCCCGCCGGGAGCGGUGCCCGGCCGAACCGGUGGAACUCCGGUACCGACAGUCACAGUCUGGAUGGAAGGCAGCACGUUC